UAGGGAAUCUUCGGCAAUGGACGAAAGUCUGACCGAGCAACGCCGCGUGAGUGAAGAAGGUUUUCGGAUCGUAAAACUCUGUUGUUAGAGAAGAACAAGGACGUUAGUAACUGAACGUCCCCUGACGGUAUCUAACCAGAAAGCCACGGCUAACUACGUGCCAGCAGCCGCGGUAAUACGUAGGUGGCAAGCGUUGUCCGGAUUUAUUGGGCGUAAAGCGAGCGCAGGCGGUUUCUUAUGUCUGAUGUGAAAGCCCCCGGCUCAACCGGGGAGGGUCAUUGGAAACUGGGAGACUUGAGUGCAGAAGAGGAGAGUGGAAUUCCAUGUGUAGCGGUGAAAUGCGUGGAAAUAUGGAGGAACACCAGUGGCGAAGGCGGCUCUCUGGUCUGUAACUGACGCUGAGGCGCGAAAGCGUGGGGAGCAAACAGG
Molecule: ribosomal RNA, 429 nt
Filed under: Gemmatimonadota bacterium
Lineage: Bacteria; Pseudomonadati; Gemmatimonadota
Description: Gemmatimonadetes bacterium partial 16S ribosomal RNA
Rfam family: Bacterial small subunit ribosomal RNA
Source: RNAcentral